This 253-nucleotide ribosomal RNA is filed under the name uncultured bacterium. Its description in RNAcentral is "partial 16S ribosomal RNA". It matches the Rfam family "Bacterial small subunit ribosomal RNA", at positions 524 to 776 of the family's 1533-position model. The record is from RNAcentral.
UACGGGGGGAGCAAACGUUGUUCGGAAUCACUGGGCGUAAAGCGUGCGCAGGCGGUUUUGUAAGUCUGACGUGAAAGCCCCGGGCUUAACCUGGGAAUUGCGUUGGAGACUGCAAGGCUUGAAUCUGGCAGAGGGGGGUAGAAUUCCACGUGUAGCAGUGAAAUGCGUAGAGAUGUGGAGGAACACCGAUGGCGAAGGCAGCCCCCUGGGUCAAGAUUGACGCUCAUGCACGAAAGCGUGGGGAGCAAACAGG